UGGGGAAUAUUGCACAAUGGGCGAAAGCCUGAUGCAGCGACGCCGCGUGAGGGAUGACGGCCUUCGGGUUGUAAACCUCUUUCAGCAGGGAAGAAGCGAAAGUGACGGUACCUGCAGAAGAAGCGCCGGCUAACUACGUGCCAGCAGCCGCGGUAAUACGUAGGGCGCAAGCGUUGUCCGGAAUUAUUGGGCGUAAAGAGCUCGUAGGCGGUUAGUCGCGUCUGCUGUGAAAACUCGAGGCUCAACCUCGGGCUUGCAGUGGGUACGGGCUGACUAGAGUGCGGUAGGGGUGACUGGAAUUCCUGGUGUAGCGGUGGAAUGCGCAGAUAUCAGGAGGAACACCGAUGGCGAAGGCAGGUCACUGGGCCGCAACUGACGCUGAGGAGCGAAAGCAUGGGGAGCGAACAGGAUUAGAUACCCCUGGUAGUCCAUGCCGUAAACGUUGGGCACUAGGUGUGGGGUCCAUUCCACGGAUUCCGUGCCGCAGCAAACGCAUUAAGUGCCCCGCCUGGGGAGUACGGCCGCAAGGCUAAAACUU
RNAcentral lists this ribosomal RNA (538 nucleotides) under uncultured bacterium. RNAcentral's name for it is "partial 16S ribosomal RNA". It matches the Rfam family "Bacterial small subunit ribosomal RNA", at positions 355 to 902 of the family's 1533-position model. The record is from RNAcentral.